AAAGAAAGGCGUUGGAAGAAGAUGCUGCCAAAUGUGCCAAAUUAACAGAGCUGUUUUCCAGAGGACAGACCCCAGUUGCAGCCGGUAAAGAGAGAUAUGGAAAUAACUUUGUAUUGUCACUGUAAGGCUAUUGCGCAACAUUUGCAAUGUCAACUUAGCGUAGUUUAUUUUGUAGAACACAACACACACCAUUAAUCACAAAUAUCCAGUUUCAAGCUAAAAAUUUUAAACAUAAUUUGAUGUGUAAUAUAUUGAACAGCCUAACUCAUUAAUGGAAUGUUUUUGUUCCGACGCUACUGUAAUGAUGAUCCCGAGGAGACCAUGACUACUGAAGGAACAGCCUCAGAGCAGCAGAUAAGCCAGUCUGAUCCUGCUGGUGAACCAAGUAGGCAUGGAGAGGCCAGGACUACAGAGACAGAUAACCCAUAAUGCAAAUGGAGCUGCGUAGGCGUUCAAAGCGGAAUAAGAAACAAGAAAGAUAGCGGAAAACAGAGUCCUCUGUUCACAAGUAAGAAAUGGAUGCUCCAGACCAAAGAAGAAAGGGACUGUCCAGACUGUUUUCAGCAACAAGUCCAAAAGCCAGGGUCUGUUAUGGUAUGGGGUUGUGUCAGCACCCUUGUCAAAGAAAAUGCUCCUCUGUGAUGGCAGCAUUAAUACAGAAAAGUACAUUGACAUUUUAGAGCAACACAUGCUGCCUUUAAUACGACAUCUUUCCAGGGACGUCCAUGCAUUUUUCAACAAAUCAGCACAAAACCAUAUGCUGCACACACUACAAAGGCAUGGUUGCUAAAGAAAAUGUUACGGGUACUGGCCUGCUGGAGAAAAUGUGUGGAGAAUUUUGAUGAUGACAACCCCAGACUGUUGCAAGAAGAAUGGGACAAAGUAACACCUAAAAUCUCAUUGAUUGUUCUUUUAAGUGUUGUGAGAAGAAAUCGCAACAUUACAAAGAUGUAAAUGCAUUCCAUUUCAACUUUUUUUUUGGAAAUAACUCAACCAGAACUUAUUGGUUCAGGGUGUGCAAACCCUAUUACUGACAUCUUUUAUGGUACUAUAACCACGGGACCUUAGAGUGCUGAAGCAUGUAGGUUGAAUUCCAAGCUGCUCCUGUUAUUAGGACUGACCUUCCAUGACCAAGCAGCAAAUUACAAAUCUAACAAGAUCCUGUACAGUGCCAUUCAUUGGCUGGUAUGGUAUAAAUCCAUACUCGGUACUGUUUUAAUGAUUUUUUAAAAAUAGACCUUUUUUCUUUGAAAUCUGUAUAUUGCUGUAAAUUCCUAAGCCUUUGUAUCAUUGCCUUUGUUGGAGUGUAUGACCUUUCCUUGUUUGACUACUUUGUUUAAUUAAAUCUUUUUUGAAACCA
This is a long non-coding RNA of Trichomycterus rosablanca, 1360 nucleotides long. RefSeq lists it as uncharacterized. The transcript is spliced from 4 exons. NCBI's taxonomy places the organism in Eukaryota, Metazoa, Chordata, Actinopteri, Siluriformes, Trichomycteridae. The record is from RefSeq and is a predicted model, not a curated record.